GAUGAACGCUGGCGGCGUGCCUAAUACAUGCAAGUCGAGCGAACGGACGAGAAGCUUGCUUCUCUGAUGUUAGCGGCAGGCGGGUGAGUAACACGUGUAUAACCUACCUAUAAGACUGGGAUAACUUCGGGACACCGUAGCUAAUCCCGGAUAAUCUUUUGCACCGCAUGGUUCAAAAGUGAAAGACGGUCUUGCUGUCUCUUCUCGAUGCAUCCGCGCUGCAUUAGCUAGUUGUUAAGGUAACGGCCUACCAAGGCAACGAUGCAUAGCCGACCUGAGAGGGUGAUCGGCGACACUGGAACUGAGACACGGUCCAGGCUCCUGCGGGAGGCAGCAGUAGGGAAUCUUCCGCAACGGGCGAAAGCCUUACGGAGCAGCGCCGCGUGAGUGAUGAAGGUCUUCGGAUCGUAAAACUCUGUUAUUAGGGAAGAACAGAUGUGGAAGGAACUGUGCACAUCGUGACGGUACCGAAUCAGAAAGCCACGGCUAACUACGUG
Molecule: ribosomal RNA, 497 nt
Filed under: uncultured bacterium
Lineage: Bacteria
Description: partial 16S ribosomal RNA
Rfam family: Bacterial small subunit ribosomal RNA
Source: RNAcentral